Non-coding RNA from Haemonchus placei, 189 nucleotides. The record is from Rfam. Lineage: Eukaryota; Metazoa; Nematoda; Chromadorea; Rhabditida; Trichostrongylidae.
ACAACUUGUACGCGAGUCAAAGGGUGGUAAAACCCUAAGGCGUUAUGAAAGUAAAGGUCGGGUAACCGGCUGACAUGGGAUCUGCUUUUCGAAGCAGCGCACCAUGGCCCUGUCUUGUCUGCCUGCAGAUAGGCAGCUUUAGAGCGUACAGGUUGCGACCCGGAGGAUAGUGAACUAUCUUCUUAUUUG